Molecule: transfer RNA, 75 nt
Filed under: Deltaproteobacteria bacterium ADurb.Bin510
Lineage: Bacteria; Deltaproteobacteria
Also listed under: 1 other name
Description: tRNA-Val
Rfam family: tRNA
About the family: Transfer RNA (tRNA) molecules are approximately 80 nucleotides in length. Their secondary structure includes four short double-helical elements and three loops (D, anti-codon, and T loops).
Source: RNAcentral
GGGCCGCUAGCUCAGCGGGAGAGCACUGCCUUCACACGGCAGGGGUCACUGGUUCAAUCCCAGUGCGGCCCACCA